GCUGGGCAUGGUGGAGCAUGCCUGUAAUCCCAGCAUCUUGGGAGGCUGAGGCAGGAGGAUUGUGAGUUCACAUCCAGCCUCAGCAACUUCAUGAGGCACUUUGUAACUCAGCAAGACCCUGUCUCUA
RNAcentral lists this small RNA (127 nucleotides) under Marmota monax (woodchuck). Lineage: Eukaryota; Metazoa; Chordata; Mammalia; Rodentia; Sciuridae. The record is from RNAcentral.